AGGGGUGUGGCUCAGUGGUAGAGCACUUGCCUAGCAUGCAAAAGGCCCUGGUUUCAUCACCAGUACUAUAA
This 71-nucleotide transfer RNA is filed under the name Ictidomys tridecemlineatus (thirteen-lined ground squirrel). Its description in RNAcentral is "Spermophilus tridecemlineatus (thirteen-lined ground squirrel) tRNA". It matches the Rfam family "tRNA". From Rfam's summary of the family: Transfer RNA (tRNA) molecules are approximately 80 nucleotides in length. Their secondary structure includes four short double-helical elements and three loops (D, anti-codon, and T loops). The record is from Rfam by way of RNAcentral. Lineage: Eukaryota; Metazoa; Chordata; Mammalia; Rodentia; Sciuridae.